This 253-nucleotide ribosomal RNA is filed under the name uncultured bacterium. RNAcentral describes it as "partial 16S ribosomal RNA". It matches the Rfam family "Bacterial small subunit ribosomal RNA", at positions 524 to 776 of the family's 1533-position model. The record is from RNAcentral.
UACGUAGGGGGCAAGCGUUGUCCGGAAUCAUUGGGCGUAAAGCGCGUGUAGGCGGCUCAGUUAGUCCGUUGUGAAAGUCCAGGGCUCAACCCUGGAAUGCCGAUGGAUACUGCUGAGCUCGAGUCCGGAAGAGGCGAGUGGAAUUCCUGGUGUAGCGGUGAAAUGCGCAGAUAUCAGGAGGAACACCAAUGGCGAAGGCAGCUCGCUGGGACGGUACUGACGCUGAGACGCGAAAGCGUGGGGAGCAAACAGG